AAACCAGCACCUCAAGUGGUCAGGAUGAUUAUUGGGCCUAAAGCAUCCGUAGCCUGCUUUGCCAGUUUUCGGUUAAAUCCAUACGCUUAACGUAUGGGCUGCCGGAAAUACUACAAAGCUAGGGAGUGGGAGAGGUAGACGGUACUCGGGAGGAAGUGGUAAAAUGCUUUGAUCUCUCGAUGACCACCUGUGGCGAAGGCGGUCUACCAGAACACGUCCGACGGUGAGGGAUGAAAGCUGGGGGAGCAAACCGGAUUAGAAACCCCAGUAGUCC
Molecule: ribosomal RNA, 274 nt
Filed under: uncultured bacterium
Lineage: Bacteria
Description: partial 16S ribosomal RNA
Rfam family: Archaeal small subunit ribosomal RNA
Source: RNAcentral